GACAUAAUCCGAGCUGAAAACAGUGAGAAUAAAAAACAUCCUGUGUGUUGCAAAUCUCUCCAAAUAAAUAUUAGUCUACCAGUUUUAUAUAAAAACUAAUUUUGCACAGACGUUUGACACUAAUAGAAAUAAACCUUCCCUUUCCACAGCAAACAGUCCAUUUCAGUUCGGUUCAGCCUCUCCUUAUUUCUAACAGCACAGUUGUAAUUAAAGCUUCAACUCGAGGAAACAUACCGAGAUCUUUGUAUAAAAAUAAAUAUACAAUUUGAAUACAAUAUCACAGCUGUUGGUUAGCUGAGUUAGUUGAUGUGAGUUAAUGCACUGACAUUCUAGCUGUCGCCCUUUGCUAAAUAUUAUCAGACAGAUGCUGCAUUUUCAGUUUUUUAUGUGGUUUAAUUCACAUCUAAUUAUUUUGAGCUGAUUGCAGGAUGAACUUGUUUCACUCCCAGUAAAACAACUUAACCUCUCACAAGUGAUUUUCUAAAUAAUGAUACAAAAUGCAUCCCUUAAUAACAGAAGCAGACAGUUACCCUCAUGUUUUGUCGUCCUGCACCAGUUUGUAUAUAUACAAAUUACAUUACAACACAGAUUUUCUCGCUCCCUCUGUAAUUUUCAAGGCCUCGUUCUAAAGUAACGAAAACACAACAAAUCAUACUUUGAGGUGAUUAUACUCUAAUGCUCAUAUAAUUACAUUCCAUUUCUGACAGGAAUUCUGAUGUUAUUCUACAUGCUGGACUUUUAAAUGACUGGUAUUUAUGUUGGAUUAGUAAUAAAUCUUUCUGCAGGACAAACGUCUCAUCACAACUUGACCACCGACUCCUUAAUUUGAGUAGUACCUGUGUCUGAGCAGGAUGGACAGACGGCUCUCCGGGGACAGCCCACGGCCGGGACGACCAAUCCUCCCAGCCCGUUUUCUACCAUCAUGUAGAACUGCAGAGUCACACACAGUAGGUGACGCAUGCAGCGAUGGAGAGCAGGGAGACGAGGAGCACCAUGCAGGCCGCGAUGACCACGUUUCUUCUCUUCUCCUCCUCGGCCUGCUGAAGCUGCCACCACUCCAGGUCACUGAACUGACAGCGCUCGCCCAUGUAGCCCGAUACACAACUGCAACAAGGCACAACAAAGGCACAAAGUUAAACAUGAUAUUUCCCAAGAGAGAAGAUAUUUUGUGCAGCCAGCGAGGGGAUGAACCACCACGAUGGAUGCUGGUUGGACCAUGUUGCCAUGGAUACGCUGCAGUUUCUUCCCGGUCCGCUUGUGUACGCUCCUCAGCUGCUGGUGCUCCUGAUCCGAUAUCCACAACCGGUCCUCGAAUACGGCGAGGUCAAAGGGUCGCCCUGGGUGAAUGGGACGAAGGGAAAGACGAGUGGAGUUCAUUAAGUGCUUCAAGGACCCGUCGAUCAGAACCAUCCAGGGCAGCCGUCUCCACCACACCCCUCCUCUGGUCGCACCAGAACAGGCGAUCCUCCGUGAAAUCAAUAGUCAGGCCGCUCGGUGACUCCAGGCUGCUGCUAGCGAUGACAGUGCGGUCUUUCCCUUCCAGCGAGGCGCUUUCCACAGCAGGCCGGGCACCGAUAUCAGUCCAGAACAACUUCCUGAAAUGACAACAGACCUGCAGUAUGUCAGAGGGGAUCGAGCAGAAACAGACUGAUGUGGAGAAGUUAUAUCGAAUAUUCUGUCUUCAGUCUCAGCGCUGGACCUUCAGUGACAAAGUGUCAGAGAUCUGACCCGAAUAACCUGACACACAAUUGGCAGCUCGCAUGUGUCUGGUCUGGGAUGACCCGGCCUUUUUAUUGGCUCUGUCGGGUCAAAGUCGUGUCUGGGGGACAAAUGCCACCUUUCAUGGCCCCACAGAAUAAAAGAGGUUCCCAUCUGAAA
Acanthopagrus latus (yellowfin seabream) is the source of this 1878-nucleotide long non-coding RNA. RefSeq lists it as uncharacterized. The transcript is spliced from 7 exons. The record is from RefSeq and is a predicted model, not a curated record. NCBI's taxonomy places the organism in Eukaryota, Metazoa, Chordata, Actinopteri, Spariformes, Sparidae.